GCACGAAAGUUAGCCGGGGCUUCUUCUCCCGCUACAGUCAUUAUCUUCGCGGGCGAAAGAGCUUUACAACCCUAAGGCCUUCAUCACUCACGCGGCAUGGCUGGAUCAGGGUUGCCCCCAUUGUCCAAUAUUCCCCA
Molecule: ribosomal RNA, 137 nt
Filed under: uncultured bacterium
Lineage: Bacteria
Description: partial 16S ribosomal RNA
Source: RNAcentral